GACGAACCGUGCAAACGUUACUCGGAUUCACUGGGCUUAAAGGGCGCGUAGGCUGUCCGCUAAGUCGUGGGUGAAAUCUUUCGGCUCAACCGGAAGACUGCCCUCGAUACUGGCGGGCUAGAGGGAGGGAGGGGCAGCGGGAACUGCCAGUGGAGCGGUGAAAUGCGUUGAUAUUGGCAGGAACGCCGGUGGCGAAAGCGCGCUGCUGGACCUUCCCUGACGCUGAGGCGCGAAAGCUAGGGGAGCAAACGGG
This 253-nucleotide ribosomal RNA is filed under the name uncultured bacterium. RNAcentral describes it as "partial 16S ribosomal RNA". It matches the Rfam family "Bacterial small subunit ribosomal RNA", at positions 524 to 776 of the family's 1533-position model. The record is from RNAcentral.